AGUCACACAAGAAGGUAGGAGAGAAAAGCCAUGGCUGACAAGUUCCUGAAGGAGAAGAGAAAGCUGUUUAUCCGUUCCAUGGGUGAAGGUACAAUAAAUGGCUUACUGGAUGAAUUAUUACAGACAAGAGUGCUGAACCAGGAAGAGAUGGAGAAAGUAAAACGUGAAAAUGCUACAGCUAUGGAUAAGACUCGAGCUUUGAUUGACUCCGUUAUUCCGAAAGGGGCACAGGCAUGCCAAAUUUGCAUCACAUACAUUUGUGAAGAAGACAAUUACCUGGCAGGGACGCUGGGACUCUCAGCAGAUCAAACAUCUGGAAAUUACCUUAAUAUGCAAGACUCUCAAGGAGUACUUUCUUCCUUUCCAGCUCCUCAGGCAGUGCAGGACAACCCAGCUAUGCCCACAUCCUCAGGCUCAGAAGGGAAUGUCAAGCUUUGCUCCCUAGAAGAAGCGCAAAGGAUAUGGAAAGAAAAGUCGGCAGAGGUGCCAUGCUCAGAACACAAGGAUAGAGUGGGGUGAAAGAAA
RNAcentral lists this small RNA (525 nucleotides) under Pan troglodytes (chimpanzee). Its description in RNAcentral is "retained intron". The record is from RNAcentral. Lineage: Eukaryota; Metazoa; Chordata; Mammalia; Primates; Hominidae.